UACGGGGGGGGCAAGCGUUGUUCGGAAUUACUGGGCGUAAAGGGCUCGUAGGCGGCCAACUAAGUCAUACGUGAAAUCCCUCGGCUUAACCGGGGAACUGCGUCUGAUACUGGAUGGCUUGAGAUUGGGAGAGGGAUGCGGAAUUCCAGGUGUAGCGGUGAAAUGCGUAGAUAUCUGGAGGAACACCGGUGGCGAAGGCGGCAUCCUGGACCAACACUGACGCUGAGGAGCGAAAGCCAGGGGAGCAAGCGGG
Molecule: ribosomal RNA, 253 nt
Filed under: uncultured bacterium
Lineage: Bacteria
Description: partial 16S ribosomal RNA
Rfam family: Bacterial small subunit ribosomal RNA
Source: RNAcentral